GGGAAAAAGAGGAGAAAGCCAUGAAGAAAUUCCAAAUCUCUGCUGUCCUUUUCGUGGCCAUUCUUCUUUUCGUUGGGGGGAAAGAAGUGGUAGCAGCAAGAGAUAUUGUACCCGGUUGCGUUGCAAUAAUAAAGAUGCCACCGUCAGAUUGUGGGAAAGUUUGCAAGACCUUGUGUAAGCAACAACAUGGACCUAAAGCUAUAGGAGCUUGUAUACCAGGUUGCUUUUGCGCUUUCCCUUGUCCUCCUCCCCCCUCUUAGGAAAAACAUUCCAUUCGGCGUACUACAUCUAUUUAAUUACUCCAAAUCCAGUUGAAUAAAAUUCACAUCAGAUGAAUAAUAUUUAAUAUUCUAUUU
Hibiscus syriacus is the source of this 356-nucleotide long non-coding RNA. RefSeq lists it as uncharacterized. The transcript is spliced from 2 exons. NCBI's taxonomy places the organism in Eukaryota, Viridiplantae, Streptophyta, Magnoliopsida, Malvales, Malvaceae. The record is from RefSeq and is a predicted model, not a curated record.